RNAcentral lists this ribosomal RNA (532 nucleotides) under Salmonella enterica subsp. salamae serovar 56:z10:e,n,x str. 1369-73. Its description in RNAcentral is "bacterial SSU rRNA". It matches the Rfam family "Bacterial small subunit ribosomal RNA", at positions 1 to 518 of the family's 1533-position model. The record is from RNAcentral. Lineage: Bacteria; Pseudomonadati; Pseudomonadota; Gammaproteobacteria; Enterobacterales; Enterobacteriaceae.
ACUUAAAUUGAAGAGUUUGAUCAUGGCUCAGAUUGAACGCUGGCGGCAGGCCUAACACAUGCAAGUCGAACGGUAACAGGAAGCAGCUUGCUGCUUCGCUGACGAGUGGCGGACGGGUGAGUAAUGUCUGGGAAACUGCCUGAUGGAGGGGGAUAACUACUGGAAACGGUGGCUAAUACCGCAUAACGUCGCAAGACCAAAGAGGGGGACCUUCGGGCCUCUUGCCAUCAGAUGUGCCCAGAUGGGAUUAGCUUGUUGGUGAGGUAACGGCUCACCAAGGCGACGAUCCCUAGCUGGUCUGAGAGGAUGACCAGCCACACUGGAACUGAGACACGGUCCAGACUCCUACGGGAGGCAGCAGUGGGGAAUAUUGCACAAUGGGCGCAAGCCUGAUGCAGCCAUGCCGCGUGUAUGAAGAAGGCCUUCGGGUUGUAAAGUACUUUCAGCGGGGAGGAAGGUGUUGUGGUUAAUACCCGCAGCACUUGACGUUACCCGCAGAAGAAGCACCGGCUAACUCCGUGCCAGCAGCCGC